GACGAACGCUGGCGGCGUGCCUAAUACAUGCAAGUAGAACGCACAGUUUAUACCGUAGCUUGCUACACCAUAGACUGUGAGUUGCGAACGGGUGAGUAACGCGUAGGUAACCUGCCUGGUAGCGGGGGAUAACUAUUGGAAACGAUAGCUAAUACCGCAUAAUAUUGAUUAUUGCAUGAUAAUUGAUUGAAAGAUGCUAUUGCAUCACUACCAGAUGGACCUGCGUUGUAUUAGCUAGUAGGUGAGGUAACGGCUCACCUAGGCGACGAUACAUAGCCGACCUGAGAGGGUGAUCGGCCACACUGGGACUGAGACACGGCCCAGACUCCUACGGGAGGCAGCAGUAGGGAAUCUUCGGCAAUGGACGAAAGUCUGACCGAGCAACGCCGCGUGAGUGAAGAAGGUUUUCGGAUCGUAAAGCUCUGUUGUAAGAGAAGAACGGGUGUGAGAGUGGAAAGUUCACACUGUGGCGGUAUCUUACCAGAAAGGGACGGCUAACUACGUG
Molecule: ribosomal RNA, 505 nt
Filed under: uncultured bacterium
Lineage: Bacteria
Description: partial 16S ribosomal RNA
Rfam family: Bacterial small subunit ribosomal RNA
Source: RNAcentral